GACUCGCUUCUUCAGUGCCUUGCUGCUCC
RNAcentral lists this non-coding RNA (29 nucleotides) under Homo sapiens (human). The record is from RNAcentral. Lineage: Eukaryota; Metazoa; Chordata; Mammalia; Primates; Hominidae.